GCACCGGUAGUCUAGUGAUAGAAUAGUACCCUGGCACGAUACAGGUCCGAGUUCAAUUCCCGGCUGGUGCC
Molecule: transfer RNA, 71 nt
Organism: Nicotiana attenuata
Lineage: Eukaryota; Viridiplantae; Streptophyta; Magnoliopsida; Solanales; Solanaceae
Rfam family: tRNA
About the family: Transfer RNA (tRNA) molecules are approximately 80 nucleotides in length. Their secondary structure includes four short double-helical elements and three loops (D, anti-codon, and T loops). Further hydrogen bonds mediate the characteristic L-shaped molecular structure. tRNAs have two regions of fundamental functional importance: the anti-codon, which is responsible for specific mRNA codon recognition, and the 3' end, to which the tRNAs corresponding amino acid is attached (by aminoacyl-tRNA synthetases). tRNAs cope with the degeneracy of the genetic code in two manners: having more than one tRNA (with a specific anti-codon) for a particular amino acid; and 'wobble' base-pairing, i.e. permitting non-standard base-pairing at the 3rd anti-codon position.
Source: Rfam